GGGUGCCAUUGUGAGGUCUCAUGAAGAAGAAAGUGAAAAAAAAAACUUGCUUUCCUACAAAACUCUAAAUCUUGAAAUCCUAGGAUUUAUUGUAUGUGAUGUAAGUUGCAAAGAAAAGUAAUUACAUCUAAUCUUCAUAAUCAAAAUUAUUUUGAUUUGAUUAUUGCAUAAAAUAUGAGGGCAUAGAUUAGCUUAAAUCAGAUCCUCUUAAUUAGGUUAGACCUAAGGUUAGAAUCAAAAAGUUAGACCAUGUA
RNAcentral lists this long non-coding RNA (254 nucleotides) under Elaeis guineensis (African oil palm). RNAcentral's name for it is "long non-coding RNA (EGUI_LNC057660)". The record is from RNAcentral. Lineage: Eukaryota; Viridiplantae; Streptophyta; Magnoliopsida; Arecales; Arecaceae.